Long non-coding RNA from Amphiprion ocellaris (clown anemonefish), 5078 nucleotides. RefSeq lists it as uncharacterized. The transcript is spliced from 4 exons. Lineage: Eukaryota; Metazoa; Chordata; Actinopteri; Pomacentridae. The record is from RefSeq and is a predicted model, not a curated record.
AAGGCUAAGCUAGUGGGGGCAAAGUUUCAGUGCAUUCUGUUGAUGUAGACGGCGUGAAAACGGAAACAAGAAGUAUGCCGUCUCAUUGUGCUGCAUACAAUUACACACUGCGUCGUACGAUUGAGACAAGGAAACCUGGAAUGACUUUUCAUAGGUUUCCCAGAGACUAUGGAUUGGAAGUUUGUCGGCUUAGACCUGGUGUCAUUCCAUCAGUGUUAAACUUCCCGGCUCAUCUUGGAAGAGUACGUGCCAGAAAGACCACGACCAAGCAGCCUUGAGAUCUUAGGCAGCGUCUCCCUGAGGUCCCUCUCUAUCUCCCCACACAUCCACCAACCACUGGAACACAUCUCCAAAGUUCUGCCGGGCCAGCUCAGCUUCCCCUCAGAAGAAGUGCCACCACCUGCCAGAUGAAGGAGCCUUUUGAGAGGCAGCUGGCAUCGUGAUUGGACUGUACUUUGGUCUGUUCCAAUCCAGCUUCAGCUCCAGAGACGGCAGGCGGGACGAGUCAACGGAGGCCUGGUGGACGAAGACAUGCAGCUGAGUACAAUCCAGAAAACAACAGAGGAGGAGUGCAGCAGCCAGAACAAGCAGAGUAGCAUCACCAAAGAACUACAGACUCUUCACAACCUGCUCAAACUCUUGGUACAGGACCUCACCACACGGAUCAAGAAGGUUUCUGUCUCAUUUCUACUCUGAAGCUCACCUUCUCCUGCUCAAACCGCUGCCAAAUGUUUCUGCUGCUCUAAAGUCUGCUCUCCAGAACUUCCUAAAAACUCUCAAAGUCUCUUCUGCUGCAGGUUGCUUUGUAGAACUGUUCCAGAAAACCUCACUAAACCACAUGGAGGGGCCUCAAGAUAGUCGUCCAAAUGAAACUGUACAAAAACCAAACUAGUAAAACCCAAACGCUAAAGUCUCCUGCAGCCUACCAGAGAACCUCUGAGAACAGAGAAUCAGGACAGAAACUCUUACCUUCUGGACAACCAACGCUGGUUCACAAACAAGAAUACAGAAUGUGUCUGACCAAAAACCUCUGAAGACUCACUACAGCCAAGAUAAAGACACAACUCACCUGCACCAAAUCCACUAAUCACUGCACACAUUAGCACCAUGUGCUAACUGUGGCUAAAGAACCACAUUUACCAAGACAACUAUCCAGUACAAAGCCCUAAAACACACCAAGAAACACAUUAAAGACGAUUUUACUGCUGGAAGCUGCAAGCCAACGCCUAAAGAACAAACUGAAGCAAUGGAGACAAACUCGGUUCACUGGUGAAGAGAAUCAGAGGAAAUGUUUGUCUGCAGCUAAAUAAAGCAGGAAGACACUGAGCUUCUCAGGUGUUCCUGAUAACACCAAGCAGCCACCUGGACAGCCAAUAGGAACACAGCCACCUGGACAGCCAAUAGGAACACAGCCACCUGGACAGCCAAUAGGAACACAGCUUCCUGGAAGUCCAGAGAGCUGGGUUAGUGAAGGAAAUUUAGUUUAAAGUUGAAGCAGAAAGUUAACAAAGAAAGUUGAAAACCACCUUCUGACACCUGAAAUCUCUGAGUUUUCACACAAAGAACGCCUGAACAUGUCAAACUGGUUCCAUGGUAGAACCAUCAUUGUAAAAAUGUCAUAGUAUGGUGUGUUGCUCAAAAAACAUUAGGACCCGGCUGUCAGGGGACAAACAUGUAAGAAACAUGAGAACAGAGAGAACCCAACCAGUAGGUCACAGUUUAUCAUCCCCCAGUCAUCUCCUGAAGUCCAUAUGGUGAGAGACAUCAGUAUCUGGUUGUUAAUUUACCAGAGAAUGCUUAUAAUCAUGCUGAUGUGGUCUGUACUCUACAGUAUUUUAGUGACUCAAUAAAUGCCUAAGUUGUUUUUUUUAAAUGCUUUUUAGUUUUUAAUAAACAUUUAAUAGCCUAUAUGUAAUCAAUAAAUGGCCUUUGCCUAUCUUAAGAAAAAUUCACUCAGAACUCUGAUAUGUUAACAGUACUAAAUAAAUCAAUAAAUACAUGCAUACACACAUAAAUAAGUUAAUACAUUAACUGUGUUAAGAUUUAGAUUUUUAAAAAGUUGUUUAUGUUUUUGCAGAAUCCAGUAUUGCUCACUGGUUGGUCAUUACAUUUUAUUAGUUUGAUUUCACUGUUUAAAAUGAUGCCACCUCUUUUCAGACAGAACCUGUGAUAAUAAAACAAUACAAAAUAUUUAGUUCCAUGUUAAUAAAGCACUUAAAGCUUUAAGUAUGGCUAAAUGCUUUUUUCAAAAUUAAAUAUAUCACUCCUUAGGUGGUAGUGGCCCCAAGUUCAGUAAAGUUGGAAAGAUAUUCACAGAUUCACACUUCCAGCAUCAAUAACUCAUUAGAUAUAGGUUGUCAAAACAUAAACGGUGCCUCUUUCCCAUUGUUGCAAGGCAGACAAUGUGCUACAAGCCCAGUUUUAUCAAAAGUAGCUGUCUUUCAAGCUACAGGAAUAACAUUGGUGUCUAUGGAGUGAACAGGGUCCGUCUGCAAUUUGCAAAACCGCUGCAACAGUAAAGAGAGACAAAUAUUCAAUAACUUCACUCUUAUACAUUGUAGUGUCACUAAAAUCACUGCAGCCUUCAACUGGCUCCUGUUGACAAAGUGUUUUAGCAGAAAUGUAAAUGCUGUAAUUUGAUUCUUUUAAUGAACCAUGUAACUUGAAUGGAUGUGAUGCUGGUGUGACCACAGUGCACACGUCUGAUGUUGCUCACAGUGGUCCAAGGGACGCUCAGGGAGUUUGUGUGUUUGCUCACACUCAGGAAAAAUUAGAGGGAACAUUGGCUUGCUUCUUAAUUUCUCCCCACAGUCAUGGUUUCUUCCACCGUACCCACUAUACAUUUUAAUAGAGGUUUAAUUAGUACCUUAUUUCUACAUCAGAAUGAUCCAGUUAAUCCCGAGCUGUAGUGACAACCAGCUAACAAAUCGCUAAUUAGCACUAAACAAAGUACAGUCGAUGUCUGUUGGAAUGGAAUUAGUUUGACAGAUAUCUUGUCAUCCACUGAAGUAUUGGACAAACUGACAUUUUAAUGUGAUGGUGGUGCUAAUAAAGGGGUUUUGAGGCAAUCCAUCCUGACCAUUACCCCAUCCAGGCCUUCAAUGUUUUGGCUAAAUGUGCAGCUGACAGAUGUUUAGAGCAACAUGUAUUUAUUUGCCUUUAUCUCAUUCAGCUGUGACAGAAAAUGGUGAGAGAGAGAAGGAGGAUGACCCCUGAAAACAAUACCCUGCAGCAACAGCGUAUUUGUUUUCUGGCGAUUCUCUAUGGAAUCAAAGUGGUUCCAUAGGGAAAUCAGAGUGCCAUAAUAAAAGAUAAAUCUGAUUUUUUAAAAAAGGAAAUAAAUGUGUAAAGAUAAGGAUAAGGAUAAACUUGGGGUGUGAUCACCGAUAAAGAGGAAUAAAAAAAAACAAUCUGUUGAAAAUAAGGAGAGAAAUGUGUAAAUAUAAAAAGGAAUAAAUAAAAUAAUAAAUAAAUCUGUUAAAAUAUAAGGAAAUAAAUGUGUAAAUAUGAAGAGGCAUAAAUAAAUAAAUAAAUAAUCUAUUAAAAAAUAAGGAAAUAAAUGUGUAAAUAUAAAGAGGACUAAAUAGUAGAUUAAAAUAAAUCAAUUAAAAAGUAUGGAAAUAUAAAGGUAAAUGUUGUCUUUGCUUUUCCCUUUUCCCUUUGUUUUUUCCUUUUGUCAUUGCUUUUACUUGAUGGACUGAGCUGUCAAUCAAAUGACUUUGGGCGGGGCUUUCUGUCCAGGGUGAGUAGUUGAUACCUUGGUCACAGGAUUCCUGUUUCGCGCUUGCUCAUAGACUGUCUGUGGAUCAGGUAUUGACUCAGUCCAUCAAAUAAAAGUGAAGGCAAAAUGGAAAAAGCAAUGACAAAAUGGGAAAACAAAAGGAAAAAACUAAGAGAAAAGGGAAAAGAAAAGACAAAACUUACCUUUAAAUUUACAUAUUUUUUAUUUUAUUUUUUAUUCUUUUAUUUUUUGCUCUUUUUUUUUACACCUUUAUUUCCUUUUUUUAAACAGAUUUAUCUUUUAUUCUGGCACUCCUGUGAUUCCGUAAUUCACUGCAUCCUAUAAAUCUGUGGAUGAAGAGGCACCUUGAGCUGUUGCAUCCUCAGGAUUUCACCAUAUAGUUGCCUAAGAAACUAUUCAGACCCCUUCACUUUUUACAUAUCAUAAAGUUGUAGUUUUCAUUUGAAAAUAAUGAAAAAAAAAGGCAUUUUUCUCCUCGAUUUAAACUCAGCAUUACAAACCAACCAAAGUGAAAACAUUAUUUUUGGAAAUUUUUGCAAAUUUAUUCUAAUCUAAAACUGAAACCUCUCAUUUAGGAAAGCAUUCAGACCUCUUGGUAUGGCACCAAAGAUUGUGUCCAGGUGCAUCCUUUUUGCUUUAAUGAUCCUUGAGAUGCAUCUAGAAUUUAAUCCACACUGGGCAUAGCUGAGAAAGACACACACCUGCGUUUAUAUAAUCUGACAAUACAAACUGCAUAUCAGGAGAAAUCCUGAGCCACGAAUUCUGAGGAACUUUCUGUAAACCUCAAUGAUGAAAAUGUCACACAGGAGAGAAAAUGUAUGAAAUCAUGUUUAAAGCUUUGAGUCUUCCCAUGAACACAGAGGUAAUUAUAAGAUGCCAUUUGACAGAACUGAGUAAAAGAAAACCCGGCAAUGACAGAACUGCACUGUGUUUAAUAACCAAGGUUUACAGGCUGAUCGUUGGACCAAAGAAGUGACAUAGAAAUUGGAAGUGUAGUGAUUUUGACAGCGUGGGAAAAAUGGAAGAGAGAACGGAGCAGUGAGAAAAGCUCACAUUGGCAGUGAAUGAACAAAUCUUCUGUAUUAAAACUACACCCAGGUUUCAUCCAGAGGAAUCCGUGAGCAUGAAGAAAAAGAUUCUCUGAUCUGAUGAGUCCAAAGCUGAACUAUUUAUGCAGCGUCUGGUGAACUUAAGGCUGUUAAAAUGAUCUCUUCUGUGCAGCAAAUUCACCGUCUUGUGAUCCAGGCAAGUGAAAAAAUGAAGAGCAGAAGUAAACAGCAUUAGCAUGAAACCAAUGGCGGGAUCAAUAAACACACUGAGGAAUGAUGACAGUUUG